Molecule: ribosomal RNA, 404 nt
Filed under: uncultured bacterium
Lineage: Bacteria
Description: bacterial SSU rRNA
Rfam family: Bacterial small subunit ribosomal RNA
Source: RNAcentral
UGGGGAAUCUUGGACAAUGGGCGCAAGCCUGAUCCAGCCAUGCCGCGUGAGUGACGAAGGCCUUAGGGUUGUAAAGCUCUUUUACCAGGGACGAUAAUGACGGUACCUGGAGAAUAAGUCCCGGCUAACUUCGUGCCAGCAGCCGCGGUAAUACGAAGGGGACUAGCGUUGUUCGGAAUUACUGGGCGUAAAGCGCACGUAGGCGGGAUGGCCAGUCAGAGGUGAAAUCCCAGGGCUCAACCCUGGAACUGCCUUUGAUACAGCCAUUCUUGAGUCCGAUAGAGGUGAGUGGAAUUCCUAGUGUAGAGGUGAAAUUCGUAGAUAUUAGGAAGAACACCAGUGGCGAAGGCGGCUCACUGGAUCGGUACUGACGCUGAGGUGCGAAAGCGUGGGGAGCAAACAGG